RNAcentral lists this ribosomal RNA (483 nucleotides) under uncultured bacterium. Its description in RNAcentral is "bacterial SSU rRNA". It matches the Rfam family "Bacterial small subunit ribosomal RNA", at positions 28 to 506 of the family's 1533-position model. The record is from RNAcentral.
GAUGAACGCUAGCUACAGGCCUAACACAUGCAAGUCGAGGGGCAGCACUGAGGAAGCUUGCUUUCUCUGGUGGCGACCGGCGGAUGGGUGAGCAACGCGUAUCCAACCUGGCCUGCGCGCGGGGAUAGCCCUUGGAAAUGAGGAUUAACACCCGAUACGCCUUUUGCCCGCAUGGGCAUUUGGUGAAUCUUGCGCAGGAUGGGGAUGCGUUGGAUUAGCUUGCUGGUGAGGUAACGGCUCACCAGGGCUCCGAUCCAUAGGGGGUUCUGAGAGGAAGGUCCCCCACACUGGAACUGAGACACGGUCCAGACUCCUACGGGAGGCAGCAGUGAGGAAUAUUGGUCAAUGGGCGCGAGCCUGAACCAGCCAAGUAGCGUGAAGGAUGACUGCCCUACGGGUUGUAAACUUCUUUUGUUUGGGAAUAAAUGAUACUACGUGUAGUAUUUUGCAUGUACCUUACGAAUAAGCAUCGGCUAAUUCCGU